CCAAUAGCGUAUAUUAGAGUGUUUAAAGCAGGCUAACGUCUGAAUACAUUAGCAUGGAAUAAUAAAAUAGGACGGCAUGAUUCUAUUUUGUUGGUUUCUAGGAUCACCGUAAUGAUUAAUAGGGAUAGUUGGGGGCAUUAGUAUUCAAUUGUCAGAGGUGAAAUUCUUGGAUUUAUUGAAGACUAACUACUGCGAAAGCAUUUGCCAAGGAUGUUUUCAUUAAUCAAGAACGAAAGUUAGGGGAUCGAAGACGAUCAGAUACCGUCGUAGUCUUAACCAUAAACUAUGCCGACUAGGAAUCAGACGAUGUUAAUUUUUUAAUGACUCGUUUGGCACCUUACG
This 342-nucleotide ribosomal RNA is filed under the name uncultured Glomeromycotina. RNAcentral describes it as "partial small subunit ribosomal RNA". It matches the Rfam family "Eukaryotic small subunit ribosomal RNA", at positions 753 to 1092 of the family's 1831-position model. Lineage: Eukaryota; Fungi; Glomeromycota. The record is from RNAcentral.